This 599-nucleotide long non-coding RNA is filed under the name Salmo salar (Atlantic salmon). RNAcentral's name for it is "lncRNA (ENSSSAG00000115127.1)". The record is from RNAcentral. Lineage: Eukaryota; Metazoa; Chordata; Actinopteri; Salmoniformes; Salmonidae.
GCUGUGUAAAGGGUAUAGGGUAGUGGUGUCUGUGUGAGAGAGGGCUGUGUUAAGGGUAAAGGGCAGUGGUGUCUGUGAGAGAGAGGGCUGUGUUAAGGGUAUAGGGUAGUGGUGUCUGUGUGAGAGAGGGCUGUGUUAAUGGUAUAGGGUAGUGGUGUCUGUGUGAGAGAGGGCUGUGUUAAGGGUAAAGGGCAGUGGUGUCUGUGAGAGAGAGGGCUGUGUUAAGGGUAUAGGGUAGUGGUGUCUGUGUGAGAGAGGGCUGUGUUAAGGGUAAAGGGCAGUGGUGUCUGUGAGAGAGAGGGCUGUGUUAAUGGUAUAGGGUAGUGGUGUCUAUCAGAGAGAGGGCUGUGUUAAGGGUAAAGGGUAGUGGUGUCUGUGAGAGAGAGGGCUGUGUUAAGGGUAAAGGGUAGUGGUGUCUGUGAGAGAGAGUGCUGUGUUAAGGUAAAGGGUAGUGGUGUCUAUCAGAGAGGGCUGUGUUAAGGGUAAAGGGCAGUGGUGUCUGUGAGAGGGCUGUGUUAAUGGUAUAGGGUAGUGGUGUCUAUCAGAGAGAGGGCUGUGUUAAGGGUAAAGGGUAGUGGUGUCUGUGAGAGAGAGUGCUG